RNAcentral lists this transfer RNA (66 nucleotides) under Batillipes longispinosus. Its description in RNAcentral is "tRNA-Phe". Lineage: Eukaryota; Metazoa; Tardigrada; Heterotardigrada; Arthrotardigrada; Batillipedidae. The record is from RNAcentral.
UAUUAUAAUAGCUUAAAUACCAAAGCAUAACUUUGAAGAGGUUAAAAUGGAUAAUCCUUAUAAUAA